GGCCAGAUAGCUAAGUUGGUAAAGCACCUGACUAGGGAUUUAGGGGACCCGGGUUCGAAUCUCGGUCUGGUCC
Ostrea edulis (European flat oyster) is the source of this 73-nucleotide non-coding RNA. The record is from the annotation of a RefSeq genome assembly. NCBI's taxonomy places the organism in Eukaryota, Metazoa, Mollusca, Bivalvia, Ostreida, Ostreidae.